UUUCAUCAUUUUAAGGAUGGAUGCUGCUCCUGCAAGGGUUAUUGGUGAAGAUUAUUCAAGUGUAGGUAUGAUAUUAUUUGGCUCUAAAGCACGAGGUAAAGAAGCUAUGACUUGGUUCCAUUAAGAGGCAACCUUGAAAUCGCUAAGAGGUAAAUCAUGUUUGGCAACUAACACCUAUCUCUUAAUGGUUCUAAAAACCUCUGAGCAUUUUAGUAUCUCUUGAAUUCUCAAAACUUCUGUCGCUCCAUCGAUUCUAGAGUAUCCUCAAGCCAUUCGGGACCCCUAUAUUUUCCAUGAGUGCCCCUUGUUCUCUUACGACCUGCUGCUGCUGCUCUCUGAAGUCGCCCCUGUUGUCUUACGAUCUGCUCUCUCCAAAUUGAAUCUGCAUUGUUGUUAAGGUCCAUGACUAUACGGUUCAGAGGCGCAUGGUAGGUGACAAGUGAACAAAGCUCUCCUUUAUUGCAAAGAUCUCAUCAACAAGGAUUUGAUGUUAGCGUUUGGGUUCUGGUGAGAAGGGAAGUUAUGAUGAGAAGCGUAAGAAGAGAUUUCCACCUUUGGAUCGAUUCUAAUGGAAUGUCAACCCUAAUGAGGUGCAAUGGAUCAAUUCCUUUCUAAAACACGAUUCAUGGGUAGACAUGAGAUUACGUAUGCUGAGGAAAUAGAAGGAAAUCCAAGGGAGAAAAGGAAGAAGACAUGGGUGGGAGAAAACAAAUAUUGUUGUCUUUUGUAAUAUAUAUUUAUAAUGUGAU
Molecule: long non-coding RNA, 749 nt
Organism: Cynara cardunculus var. scolymus (artichoke)
Lineage: Eukaryota; Viridiplantae; Streptophyta; Magnoliopsida; Asterales; Asteraceae
Exons: 3
Source: RefSeq, a predicted model, not a curated record